GUUGAUUUAACUUAAUAAAAAGUGUGGCUUUGAAGCGGCUAAAAUGAGAUCUCUCAGUCAACA
Molecule: transfer RNA, 63 nt
Filed under: Degeeriella rufa
Lineage: Eukaryota; Metazoa; Arthropoda; Insecta; Psocodea; Philopteridae
Description: tRNA-Phe
Source: RNAcentral